Long non-coding RNA from Neofelis nebulosa (Clouded leopard), 252 nucleotides. RefSeq lists it as uncharacterized. The record is from RefSeq and is a predicted model, not a curated record. The transcript has 2 exons. Lineage: Eukaryota; Metazoa; Chordata; Mammalia; Carnivora; Felidae.
UCCAGAAUCUAAGCUGUCAGUGUGGAGGUUGGUGUGGGGCUUGAACCCAUGGACCGUGAGAUCAUGACCUGAGCUGAAGUUGGGUGCUCAACCAACUGAACCACCCAGAGAACGGUGCAAGCUGUAGCUGCUGAUAGAACCCAGCUUUACUCAAGCAUGAAGAAUCAUUCAAACGCAGACUGAACAAAAGAAGUUGGAGAGGAGGCACUUCUUUUUCAUCAAAUUUUGAUUAAAAGGGUAAGAAUAACUUGA